GCCGUCUGGCCACUUCUGCCAAGAGCCCCUCAUUCGUAAUGAGGGGGUCGGGGGGUCGAAUCCGUCUUGCGGCACCA
This 77-nucleotide transfer RNA is filed under the name Rhodoblastus sphagnicola. Its description in RNAcentral is "tRNA-Thr". Lineage: Bacteria; Pseudomonadati; Pseudomonadota; Alphaproteobacteria; Hyphomicrobiales; Rhodoblastaceae. The record is from RNAcentral.